RNAcentral lists this ribosomal RNA (259 nucleotides) under uncultured Staphylococcus sp. Its description in RNAcentral is "partial 16S ribosomal RNA". It matches the Rfam family "Bacterial small subunit ribosomal RNA", at positions 103 to 354 of the family's 1533-position model. The record is from RNAcentral. Lineage: Bacteria; Bacillati; Bacillota; Bacilli; Caryophanales; Staphylococcaceae.
CGGGUGAGUAACACGUGGAUAACCUACCUAUAAGACUGGGAUAACUUCGGGAAACCGGAGCUAAUACCGGAUAAUAUAUUGAACCGCAUGGUUCAAUAGUGAAAGACGGUUUUGCUGUCACUUAUAGAUGGAUCCGCGCUGCAUUAGCUAGUUGGUAAGGUAACGGCUUACCAAGGCAACGAUGCGUAGCCGACCUGAGAGGGUGAUCGGCCACACUGGAACUGAGACACGGUCCAGACUCCUACGGGAGGCAGCAGAC